AUGGUGUUAUUAGACGUUGUGUACCUGAGCAUGAACAGGAACAGAUCCUACGCAAGUGCUAUUCCGAGGCUUAUGAAGGACACCAUGCUGGAGAUAGAACUGCACAUAAGGUAUUGCAAUCCGAUUUUUAUUGGCCUACUCUCUUCAAGGAUGCCCGUAAGUUUGUUGUCUUGUGAUGAAUGUCAAAGAAUUAGUAAUAUUAGUAGACGUCAAGAAAUGCCUAUGAAUUAUUCACUUGUUAUUGAACCAUUUGAUGUUUGGGGCUUUGAUUAUAUGAGACCUUUUCCUUCCUUUAAUGGGUAUACACAUAUUUUAGGUGUUGUUGAUUACGUUACUAAGUGGGUAGAAGCUAUUCUAACUAGUAGUGCUGAUCAUAACACCUCUAUUAAGAUGCUUAAAGAAGUUAUUUUUUUGAGGUUUGGAGUCCCUAGAUACUUAAUUACUGAUGGUGGUUCACAUUUUAUUCAUGGUGCUUUUUGUAAAAUGCUUGCUAAGUAUGAUUAA
RNAcentral lists this ribosomal RNA (504 nucleotides) under Triticum aestivum (bread wheat). RNAcentral's name for it is "partial small subunit ribosomal RNA". Lineage: Eukaryota; Viridiplantae; Streptophyta; Magnoliopsida; Poales; Poaceae. The record is from RNAcentral.